AAACUUUUUUCAGCUGUUUACACAUACAAUUACAACACUUACAUUUGUUUACAAUUGGAAUUGAAUUGGAGAAAGCUUUAGUUAGAACGAGAAAAAAUAUUGCCACUGUAAGCAUAUUGAUAUAAUAACAUGCUAAAAGAAGACAUAUAUUACAUUAAAAAAAAAGAAAAACUGAAAUUGAAGCGGCAAUUUGGCCAUUUUAUAAAAAAUUUGGGCUUAAAGAGAGGAGAUAUAUAAAAGAAUUAAUUUUAAAAGGCAAAAUCAAAGCAAAGACAACGACCGGGACUUCAUUUUAUACAAAAGAAAAUGCAACAAUAUAUCUAUUAUAUUUGUUCCUGCUAUUCCUGCAAGGACCACAAGACGACAGGGCUUUAUUUCGCCAACAAUGUUAAAAUACAUACAUAUAUGUAGAUUAAGAAUAAAAUAAGAUUAUAUAUCAUUUGAAUUGUUAAAUUAGAACAUAAAUUGCAUAAUUAUAAUAAUUUAUAUAUAAAUAUAAUUUUAAUGUUAAUAACUUGCAAAUGUAAAAAAUUAAUAAUAGCUUAAACUGUUUAAGUUUAUAAGAUUGUACUAUCUACAUAUUUGAUUUUGUAAUGAUUGAAAAUGUAAUAAAAUAAAUUAAAAAACAAAAAAAAAAAGAAUUG
Zeugodacus cucurbitae (melon fly) is the source of this 644-nucleotide long non-coding RNA. RefSeq lists it as uncharacterized. NCBI's taxonomy places the organism in Eukaryota, Metazoa, Arthropoda, Insecta, Diptera, Tephritidae. The transcript has 4 exons. The record is from RefSeq and is a predicted model, not a curated record.